Molecule: ribosomal RNA, 1372 nt
Filed under: uncultured bacterium
Lineage: Bacteria
Description: bacterial SSU rRNA
Rfam family: Bacterial small subunit ribosomal RNA
Source: RNAcentral
GAUGAACGCUGGCGGCGUGCCUAAUACAUGCAAGUCGAGCGAACGGACGAGAAGCUUGCUUCUCUGAUGUUAGCGGCGGACGGGUGAGUAACACGUGGAUAACCUACCUAUAAGACUGGGAUAACUUCGGGAAACCGGAGCUAAUACCGGAUAAUAUUUUGAACCGCAUGGUUCAAAAGUGAAAGACGGUCUUGCUGUCACUUAUAGAUGGAUCCGCGCUGCAUUAGCUAGUUGGUAAGGUAACGGCUUACCAAGGCAACGAUGCAUAGCCGACCUGAGAGGGUGAUCGGCCACACUGGAACUGAGACACGGUCCAGACUCCUACGGGAGGCAGCAGUAGGGAAUCUUCCGCAAUGGGCGAAAGCCUGACGGAGCAACGCCGCGUGAGUGAUGAAGGUCUUCGGAUCGUAAAACUCUGUUAUUAGGGAAGAACAUAUGUGUAAGUAACUGUGCACAUCUUGACGGUACCUAAUCAGAAAGCCACGGCUAACUACGUGCCAGCAGCCGCGGUAAUACGUAGGUGGCAAGCGUUAUCCGGAAUUAUUGGGCGUAAAGCGCGCGUAGGCGGUUUUUUAAGUCUGAUGUGAAAGCCCACUGCUCAACCGUGGAGGGUCAUUGGAAACUGGAAAACUUGAGUGCAGAAGAGGAAAGUGGAAUUCCAUGUGUAGCGGUGAAAUGCGCAGAGAUAUGGAGGAACACCAGUGGCGAAGGCGACUUUCUGGUCUGUAACUGACGCUGAUGUGCGAAAGCGUGGGGAUCAAACAGGAUUAGAUACCCUGGUAGUCCACGCCGUAAACGAUGAGUGCUAAGUGUUAGGGGGUUUCCGCCCCUUAGUGCUGCAGCUAACGCAUUAAGCACUCCGCCUGGGGAGUACGACCGCAAGGUUGAAACUCAAAGGAAUUGACGGGGACCCGCACAAGCGGUGGAGCAUGUGGUUUAAUUCGAAGCAACGCGAAGAACCUUACCAAAUCUUGACAUCCUUUGACAACUCUAGAGAUAGAGCCUUCCCCUUCGGGGGACAAAGUGACAGGUGGUGCAUGGUUGUCGUCAGCUCGUGUCGUGAGACGUUGGGUUAAGUCCCGCAACGAGCGCAACCCUUAAGCUUAGUUGCCAUCAUUAAGUUGGGCACUCUAAGUUGACUGCCGGUGACAAACCGGAGGAAGGUGGGGAUGACGUCAAAUCAUCAUGCCCCUUAUGAUUUGGGCUACACACGUGCUACAAUGGACAAUACAAAGGGCAGCGAAACCGCGAGGUCAAGCAAAUCCCAUAAAGUUGUUCUCAGUUCGGAUUGUAGUCUGCAACUCGACUACAUGAAGCUGGAAUCGCUAGUAAUCGUAGAUCAGCAUGCUACGGUGAAUACGUUCCCGGGUCU